AUGAACGCUGGCGGCGUGCCUAAUACAUGCAAGUCGCGCGCACGGACGAGAAGCUUGCUUCUCUGAUGUUAGCGGCGGACGGGUGAGUAACACGUGGAUAACCUACCUAUAAGACUGGGAUAACUUCGGGAAACCGGAGCUAAUACCGGAUAAUAUUUUGAACCGCAUGGUUCAAAAGUGAAAGACGGUCUUGCUGUCACUUAUAGAUGGAUCCGCGCUGCAUUAGCUAGUUGGUAAGGUAACGGCUUACCAAGGCAACGAUGCAUAGCCGACCUGAGAGGGUGAUCGGCCACACUGGAACUGAGACACGGUCCAGACUCCUACGGGAGGCAGCAGUAGGGAAUCUUCCGCAAUGGGCGAAAGCCUGACGGAGCAACGCCGCGUGAGUGAUGAAGGUCUUCGGAUCGUAAAACUCUGUUAUUAGGGAAGAACAUAUGUGUAAGUAACUGUGCACAUCUUGACGGUACCUAAUCAGAAAGCCACGGCUAACUACGUG
This 496-nucleotide ribosomal RNA is filed under the name uncultured bacterium. Its description in RNAcentral is "partial 16S ribosomal RNA". It matches the Rfam family "Bacterial small subunit ribosomal RNA", at positions 29 to 507 of the family's 1533-position model. The record is from RNAcentral.